Molecule: ribosomal RNA, 1312 nt
Filed under: Fusarium oxysporum f. sp. cubense
Lineage: Eukaryota; Fungi; Ascomycota; Sordariomycetes; Hypocreales; Nectriaceae
Description: partial large subunit ribosomal RNA
Rfam family: Eukaryotic large subunit ribosomal RNA
Source: RNAcentral
AGGGAUUGCCCUAGUAACGGCGAGUGAAGCGGCAACAGCUCAAAUUUGAAAUCUGGCUCUCGGGCCCGAGUUGUAAUUUGUAGAGGAUACUUUUGAUACGGUGCCUUCCGAGUUCCCUGGAACGGGACGCCAUAGAGGGUGAGAGCCCCGUCUGGUUGGAUGCCAAAUCUCUGUAAAGUUCCUUCGACGAGUCGAGUAGUUUGGGAAUGCUGCUCUAAAUGGGAGGUAUAUGUCUUCUAAAGCUAAAUACCGGCCAGAGACCGAUAGCGCACAAGUAGAGUGAUCGAAAGAUGAAAAGCACUUUGAAAAGAGAGUUAAAAAGUACGUGAAAUUGUUGAAAGGGAAGCGUUUAUGACCAGACUUGGGCUUGGUUAAUCAUCUGGGGUUCUCCCCAGUGCACUUUUCCAGUCCAGGCCAGCAUCAGUUUUCCCCGGGGGAUAAAGACUUCGGGAAUGUGGCUCUCUUCGGGGAGUGUUAUAGCCCGUUGUGUAAUACCCUGGGGGGGACUGAGGUUCGCGCAUCUGCAAGGAUGCUGGCGUAAUGGUCAUCAACGACCCGUCUUGAAACACGGACCAAGGAGUCGUCUUCGUAUGCGAGUGUUCGGGUGUCAAACCCCUACGCGUAAUGAAAGUGAACGCAGGUGAGAGCUUCGGCGCAUCAUCGACCGAUCCUGAUGUUCUCGGAUGGAUUUGAGUAAGAGCAUACGGGGCCGGACCCGAAAGAAGGUGAACUAUGCCUGUAUAGGGUGAAGCCAGAGGAAACUCUGGUGGAGGCUCGCAGCGGUUCUGACGUGCAAAUCGAUCGUCAAAUAUGGGCAUGGGGGCGAAAGACUAAUCGAACCUUCUAGUAGCUGGUUUCCGCCGAAGUUUCCCUCAGGAUAGCAGUGUUGAACUCAGUUUUAUGAGGUAAAGCGAAUGAUUAGGGACUCGGGGGCGCUAUUUAGCCUUCAUCCAUUCUCAAACUUUAAAUAUGUAAGAAGCUCUUGUUGCUUAAUUGAACGUGAGCAUUCGAAUGUAUCAACACUAGUGGGCCAUUUUUGGUAAGCAGAACUGGCGAUGCGGGAUGAACCGAACGCGAGGUUAAGGUGCCAGAGUAGACGCUCAUCAGACACCACAAAAGGUGUUAGUACAUCUUGACAGCAGGACGGUGGCCAUGGAAGUCGGAAUCCGCUAAGGACUGUGUAACAACUCACCUGCCGAAUGUACUAGCCCUGAAAAUGGAUGGCGCUCAAGCGUCUCACCCAUACCUCGCCCUCAGGGUAGAAACGAUGCCCUGAGGAGUAGGCGGACGUGGAGGUCAGUGACGAAGCCUA